Molecule: ribosomal RNA, 1046 nt
Filed under: Rickia sp. 'Costa Rica'
Lineage: Eukaryota; Fungi; Ascomycota; Laboulbeniomycetes; Laboulbeniales; Laboulbeniaceae
Description: SSU rRNA
Rfam family: Eukaryotic small subunit ribosomal RNA
Source: RNAcentral
AGUCCAAUGCUUGUCUCAAAGAUUAAGCCAUGCAUGUCUAAGUAUAAGCAUUUAUAUUGUGAAACUGCGAAUGGCUCAUUAAAUCAGUUAUUGUUUAUUUGACAGUCUUUUACUACAUGGAUAACUGUGGUAAUUCUAGAGCUAAUACAUGCAACAGACCCUGACUUAUGAAAGGGUGUAUUUAUUAGAUGGCAAGCCAACGCCCCUUGGGGUUUUUUGGUGAAUCAUGAUAACUCAACUCAGCACAUUGCCUUGCGCUGGUGCGAGGUCAUUCAAAUAUCUGCCCUAUCAAGUUUCGAUGUGAGGGUAGUGUCCUCACAUGCUUUUGACGGGUAACGGGGAAUUAGGGUUCGACUCCGGAGAGGGAGCCUGAGAAACGGCUACCACAUCCAAGGAAGGCAGCAGGCGCGUAAAUUACCCAAUCCCGACACGGGGAGGUAGUGACAAGAAAUACCGAUACAGGGUCCUUUGUGAUCUUGUGAUUGGAAUGAGUACAAUUUAAACCCAUUAAUGAGGAACAAGCAGAGGGCAAGUCUGGUGCCAGCAGCCGCGGUAAUUCCAGCUCUGCUAGCAUACAUUAAAUUUGUUGCGGUUGAAACGCCCGUAGUUGAAGUUUGGGCUGGGUCUCGUGGUCCGCCUCACCGCGUGUACUGGUGAGACCUGGCCUUUCCUCCUGGAGCACUGCAUGCUCUUUAUUGAGUGUGUUGGGAAACCAGGACUUUUACUUUGAAAAAAUUAGAGUGUUCAAAGCAGGCAAAUUUGCCUGAAUACCUUAGCAUGGAAUAAUGGAAUAGGACGUCAGUUUUAUUCGUUGGUUUCUAGGACUGACGUAAUGAUUAAUAGGGAUAGUCGGGGGCAUCAGUAUUCAAUUGUCAGAGGUGAAAUUCUUGGAUUUAUUGAAGACUAACAGCUGCGAAAGCAUUUGCCAAGGAUGUUUUCAUUGAUCAAGGACGAAAGUUAGGUGAGCGAAAACGAUCAGAUACCGUUGUAGUCCUAACCGUAAACUAUGCCAACUAGGGAUCAGGUGGCGUUGAUUUUGACCCAGC